This 373-nucleotide unclassified non-coding RNA is filed under the name soil metagenome. RNAcentral's name for it is "partial contains 5.8S ribosomal RNA, internal transcribed spacer 2, and large subunit ribosomal RNA". The stretch from base 1 to 121 matches the Rfam family "5.8S ribosomal RNA", at positions 35 to 154 of the family's 154-position model. The record is from RNAcentral.
GAUGAAGAACGCAGCGAAAUGCGAUAAGUAAUGCGAAUUGCAGAAUUCCAGUGAGUCAUCGAAUCUUUGAACGCACAUUGCGCCCUUUGGUAUUCCGAAGGGCAUGCCUGUUCGAGCGUCAUUAUCACCCCUCAAGCCCUCGGCUUGGUGUUGGACGGUUUGGUGGAGGCCCCCUCGGGGGCUCCUGCCCCUCCCACAGACAAUGACGGCGGCCUCGUUGGACCCCCGGUACACUGAGUUCUUCACGGGACACGUAUCGGACACAUGGGUUUACGGGACACGGUCUGCCUCCCCUCAGGGAGAAUCUUUCUAAGGUUGACCUCGGAUCAGGUAGGGAUACCCGCUGAACUUAAGCAUAUCAAUAAGCGGAGGA